RNAcentral lists this ribosomal RNA (500 nucleotides) under uncultured bacterium. Its description in RNAcentral is "bacterial SSU rRNA". It matches the Rfam family "Bacterial small subunit ribosomal RNA", at positions 29 to 518 of the family's 1533-position model. The record is from RNAcentral.
AUGAACGCUAGCGACAGGCUAACACAUGCAAGUCGAGGGGUAACAGGGUAGCAAUACCGCUGACGACCGGCGCACGGGUGAGUAACGCGUAUGCAACCUGCCUAUAACUGGGGAAUAGCUCCCUGAAAGGGGGAAUUAACACCGCAUAACACUAUUGAUUCGCAUGGAUUAGUAGUUAAAUGUAGCGAUACAGGUUAUAGAUGGGCAUGCGUGACAUUAGCUAGUUGGUGAGGUAACGGCUCACCAAGGCUACGAUGUCUAGGGGUUCUGAGAGGAAGGUCCCCCCACACUGGUACUGAGACACGGACCAGACUCCUACGGGAGGCAGCAGUGAGGAAUAUUGGUCAAUGGGCGCAAGCCUGAACCAGCCAUGUCGCGUGCAGGAAGAACCUGCCCUAUGGGUUGUAAACUGUCUUUUAUAGUAGAAGAAACACAUCUACGCGUAGAUGUCUGCCAGUAUACUAUGAAUAAGCAUCGGCUAACUCCGUGCCAGCCGCCGC